This 273-nucleotide ribosomal RNA is filed under the name Triticum aestivum (bread wheat). RNAcentral's name for it is "partial small subunit ribosomal RNA". The record is from RNAcentral. Lineage: Eukaryota; Viridiplantae; Streptophyta; Magnoliopsida; Poales; Poaceae.
CUUGUCGUGCUCGUCGUCGUCGUGGUAGACGUAGGCGAACCCACCGUGCCGGGUCAGGUCCAUGCCGGCCAUCUCGUCCUCGGCCGAGAUGCGGAGCAGGCCCAGCUUCUUGAGCGCCAAGAAGAGCGGGCCCAUGGUGCAGCUCACGAAGCCGGCGAUGACGAGGAUCUGCACGAUGUGCGCCGCCAGCAGCCGCCCGCCGCCGCCCAGGAACAGCCCGUACGGCCUGCCGGCGCCGUAGAUCUCCUCCACGUACUGCUUCUUGGCGAACAG